This 467-nucleotide ribosomal RNA is filed under the name uncultured bacterium. RNAcentral's name for it is "partial 16S ribosomal RNA". It matches the Rfam family "Bacterial small subunit ribosomal RNA", at positions 28 to 506 of the family's 1533-position model. The record is from RNAcentral.
GACGAACGCUGGCGGCGUGCUUAACACAUGCAAGUCGAACGGAAAGGCCCUGCUUUUGUGGGGUGCUCGAGUGGCGAACGGGUGAGUAACACGUGAGUAACCUGCCCUUGACUUUGGGAUAACUUCAGGAAACUGGGGCUAAUACCGGAUAGGAGCUCCUGCUGCAUGGUGGGGGUUGGAAAGUUUCGGCGGUUGGGGAUGGACUCGCGGCUUAUCAGCUUGUUGGUGGGGUAGUGGCUUACCAAGGCUUUGACGGGUAGCCGGCCUGAGAGGGUGACCGGCCACAUUGGGACUGAGAUACGGCCCAGACUCCUACGGGAGGAAGAAGUGGGGAAUAUUGCACAAUGGGCGGAAGCCUGAUGCAGCAACGCCGCGUGCGGGAUGACGGCCUUCGGGUUGUAAACCGCUUUCGCCUGUGACGAAGCGUGAGUGACGGUAAUGGGUAAAGAAGCACCGGCUAACUACGU